Molecule: ribosomal RNA, 470 nt
Filed under: uncultured bacterium
Lineage: Bacteria
Description: SSU rRNA
Rfam family: Bacterial small subunit ribosomal RNA
Source: RNAcentral
AGCCUGAACGCUGGCGGCGUGGCUAAGACAUGCAAGUCGUACGGGUGUAGCAAUACACCAGUGGCGGACGGGUGAGUAAUGUAUCGCUAACGUACCCCGAAAUCUGGGAUAGCCAUCCGAAAGGAUGGGUAAUACCAGGUAACAUCACCGGUAGGCAUCUUCCGGUGCUCAUAGGGUCACCGUUUCGGGAGCGGGCGAUAUCGUAUCAGCUAGUUGGCGGGGUAACGGCCCACCAAGGCGACGACGCGUAGCCGGACUGAGAGGUUGGCCGGCCACAUUGGGACUGAGACACUGCCCAGACUCCUACGGGGGGCUGCAGUAACGAAUCUUCCGCAAUGCACGCAAGUGUGACGGAGCGACGCCGCGUGUGGGACGAAGCCCUUCGGGGUGUAAACCACUGUCAGAGGAUAGAAAGUUCUGAUCGUCCUCAGAGGAAUGCACGGCUAACUCUGCGCCAGCAGCCGCGGUAA